This 93-nucleotide transfer RNA is filed under the name Pseudomonadota bacterium. RNAcentral's name for it is "tRNA-Ser". It matches the Rfam family "tRNA". From Rfam's summary of the family: Transfer RNA (tRNA) molecules are approximately 80 nucleotides in length. Their secondary structure includes four short double-helical elements and three loops (D, anti-codon, and T loops). Lineage: Bacteria; Pseudomonadati; Pseudomonadota. RNAcentral also lists the same sequence under 1 other name. The record is from RNAcentral.
GGUGGGGUGGCCGAGUGGCUGAAGGCGCCGGUUUGCUAAACCGGUAUACGGUGUUGAGCCGUAUCGAGGGUUCGAAUCCCUCUCCCACCGCCA